UGGCGGCGUGCCUAACACAUGCAAGUCGAACGGAGAUAUUAAUGAAGCUUGCGAUUUAAUAUCUUAGUGGCGGACGGGUGAGUAACGCGUGAGCAACCUACCCAUAAGAGGGGGAUAACAGUUGGAAACGACUGCUAAUACCGCAUAAGCUGGCUGGUACACAUGUACCGGUUAGUAAAGAUGGCCUCUGAAUAUGCUAUCACUUAUGGAUGGGCUCGCGUCUGAUUAGCUAGUUGGUGGGGUAACGGCCUACCAAGGCGACGAUCAGUAGCCGGCCUGAGAGGGUGGACGGCCACACUGGGACUGAGACACGGCCCAGACUCCUACGGGGGGCAGCAGUGGGGAAUAUUGCGCAAUGGGGGAAACCCUGACGCAGCGACGCCGCGUGAGCGAAGAAGGCCUUAGGGUUGUAAAGCUCUGUUUUCAGGAAAGAACGUCGCGGGUAAUAAUACGAUCCGCGAAUGACGGUACCUGAAGAGGAAGCCCCGGCUAACUACGUGCC
RNAcentral lists this ribosomal RNA (502 nucleotides) under anaerobic bacterium F1/B-2. RNAcentral describes it as "bacterial SSU rRNA". It matches the Rfam family "Bacterial small subunit ribosomal RNA", at positions 37 to 509 of the family's 1533-position model. The record is from RNAcentral.